Molecule: long non-coding RNA, 3239 nt
Organism: Equus asinus (donkey)
Lineage: Eukaryota; Metazoa; Chordata; Mammalia; Perissodactyla; Equidae
Source: Ensembl
AGGCCCCUCCAUCUGAACUUCCAGCUUAGUUUUCUGAGCAUGGAGGCUGAGGAACUCAAGUGAGUGGGUGUUCGCAGCCUGGCAGCACAUUGGAAUCACCUGGGGUGCUUUGAAAACUACAGCUGUUCGGGCCAGCACAGGCUAAUUAAAUUAGCAUUUUGAGGGAGGGGGUGCCCUGAUGACAGCAUGUUUCAAAGCCUCUUCAGGUGAUCAUAGUCGGCAUCAGGGUGAAGAGCCAUUGGCCUACGGCAGUGGUCCUCAGUCACCUGGUGAGCUUGUUAAACCACAGUUUGCGGGGCCCCAUCCCACACUUUCUCAUUCAACGGGUCGGGGGUGGGGUGGAGUCUGAGAAUCUGCAUUUCUACCCAGCAACCAGGUGCUGCUGCUCCUGGGCUCCCACUGAGGACCACUGGCUCAGCCCAAGUCUCCUUCAAAGCUAGUGCCAGUGAGCCCAGGUUUGGGAUCCCUCCCAGCCUUGGAUCCUGGCGUGGCAGAUCCAGCAUCUGGUUCUAGCUCUGCUACCAUCCAAUCCUGGACUGCUCACAUCCUUCUCUGGGCCUCGGACAACACUCUCUCUCAAGUGCCUUUUAAGCUCUCAGAAUCUUUGGAAAGUCAUGGAUCAGCUUCCGGGUAUAAGAGGGAGCCGGGGUCCAGCCCCAAGCGAUUUAGCUGGUACAGCGAAAAGAGGAGAGUCGUCGGCAUGAGACCUAGUUUAAAAUCCCAUCUCCGCCACGUUUUGGCUGCCACUGCUGUUCACACCUGUAACAGGUGAUUGACCAUCUGUACUUGCCGGGGUUUUUGUGUGGCUUUGGUGAGAGUCGAUGCUGGGCAUCCCUUGGGAGCUCCACGAAUAUUUUAGUCCUGCCUGUUGGGAUUCCUCUCUCAGAGACCUCGGACGAUCUCAAGGUCUUCCCUGUGCCAUUCGGGACUGGGUUAAAACAGUUUGGAGAGCAUAUGUUGGCUGGGACAGGCAGCCAGCCCCCUUGAUGGAGAACAGAUGACUGCCCCUCGAACACCUGGAGAUAAAGCCCCAAACCUUUGGCUGCAGAACCUCAGAACAAGCACGCUGCUCUGCCGGCAGCCGGGCUCUGGGUUUUGGCCAGUCUCAAUCAGUAAAGAAAAGGUCAGAAGCCCUCAGGAUCAAAGUCAGCCACUCCACAGACCUCCCUGGCAGGUUUGUCCUCGGAUUGUUUCACAUCUUAGAGCUUUUGAUCUUCAUUUCUUCCCGAGCCUGCAACUGGGAGCAUGGAUGUCUGCAGGCUGUUGGAGGGUGAGGGGCUAAAGCUCUUCUCUCACCCACUCUGCCUCUCCCUGCCAGCUUUGAGCAGCAGCAGACAGCGUGACAAAUGGCUCAUCAGCAUGUGUCCCUGUCAAUGUAGCCAUUCUGCUACGGCUGGACACCUAUGUGGCUUCAGUCAUAAGUAACAUUGUGAUGACCACUGCAAGAGACCCCAGAAACCAUUGAGGGAAGUUGGCAAAGACAGUGGCCGUGCUCGCUCCACAGAUGAGAUUUCCCAGGAAGGAAAGUUGAGCAAUUUAAAGCAAAACUGAAAACAUUGAAGGAAGUCUUCCUCAUCAGUAUCUCUCAUCCUUCCUUGCCUUAGCAAACAGACCACACUGAUGAGACCCUUUCUCAUGCAUCAGAGUCUAUAUCAGAGCCACCAUUUUUGCCCUACAUUGCUGUGAUUGCUGGAGCCUUUGAUAUGAAAGCUACUUCUGGAGUCGGGGCCAGCGGUUGAGAAGCCAGCAAAAUCUCCUGACGUCCCUCAAGAAGGUCACCACCUCCUCGUGCCUCACAUGCUUCAACAGGAGACAGAGAUAAAUUUCAGCUCUGGCUGAGUGUCAGCAUCCUUACAGAGACCAGAGAGGGGCAGUCUGCGGUGCGGGCAGCUUCUUUAGUUAUUUUGGUGAUUAUAUUUUCAGUUCAGUAAAUUGACUUGUUCUAUUUGGUUCUUUUCCAAAUCUGCCGUGUCACUGUUUAUAAGGUCUAGUUCUUUGCCAGUUUUUUCAAGUCUGACUUUUACCUCUUUGAACACAGUAGGUAUAGUUAGUUCAUGGUCCUCUACCCAGAGUGCCUGUUGAUUUGUAUCUCUUCUCUGUUUUUUCCUACCCGUUUUCACUCAUGGGGUCUUGUCUCCUGUCUGCUUGGUUGUCUCUGAGUAUCGGCUACUGUGUUUGAAAAAUUAUUUGUAGGAAUAAUUGGAGGCAUAGAAUGACGCUGUCUUCCUCUAAGGAGGAUUUUAAAUUUCUUUUGCAGUUGGCUGGGAGCUCUAGAAUCUGAGAUAAGCUUGACCCAAGGGAGGUCCCUGGGCUCCUCAAAAGCCUCGAAGCAGGUGGCAGUCCUUGCAACAGCCACUUUGCUUCUGGUCCACCCCAAACCAGGAGAUGGAGCCCUGCAGGCUUUGUGAUUUUUUUUCUACCUUUUUUCCCCUGAACUUUCUAAAAUGUCUAUAUAAUGAUCUUAGAAUAUUGUUUUAAAUUAGAAUAAAUAAUCAUGCAAACAAAGAAAUGUUAAGGGAGAGAUCGUUCAGUCUCUGCGUGUCUGCGUGUGAAAGUGCCCAAUUCUAGAGGAGAGGACGGUCAUCUGAAGGUCGGUAGAUACAGGGGUGGAUCAGCACUUGCCUGAAGAAGGCAAAGAUGCUACAGGAGGCCCAUGUCUACUUGAACCCAGAACAGAAACCACAGAGGUUGCAGCUCCCUCCUCCCAGUUGGUGACCUCAAGGCCUCCAGGAAAUUAUGUAUAAGGGAUGUGAGUCUCUCCCCUCCUCCUCCCCACAAAGUCCCACAAACAGCAGACAUCUCUACUCAAUCACAGCACUUGAUUUUGAUCUUCCCCAUGUUAGCAAAACUUUAAAAAAUUAUUUUCCAGCAAAUGACCAGAUAAUAUGCAAUGCUUUGAAUGCACCAUGAUUUAUCUGAUCAUUACAAUGGUGGGUAUUUAGGCUGUUUACAUUUCCCCCUUGUUAGGAAAUAUUUGUAAUGAACAUCUUUGUGCCUAGCUCUUUGCCAACAUUUUGAAUUAUUUCUUUGGAGAUAGAUUCCUAACAAUGGGUAAAGGAUGUGAACAUCUGUCAGGUUUUUGAUAUCUAUUGCCAAAUUACUUUCUAGAAAAUGUAUUCAAUUAAUAUGCUCACCAGGAGCAUACAAGAGAGCCUGUCUAUCCCUUGCCACCACCAGGUACAUCAUUAAGUUUUGGCUGAUUUGGUAAGUGGAAAAUGGUAUCCCCUUGUUAUUUAACU